This 406-nucleotide ribosomal RNA is filed under the name uncultured bacterium. Its description in RNAcentral is "partial 16S ribosomal RNA". It matches the Rfam family "Bacterial small subunit ribosomal RNA", at positions 30 to 526 of the family's 1533-position model. The record is from RNAcentral.
AUUGAACGCUGGCGGCAUGCUUUACACAUGCAAGUCGAACGAGUGGCGAACGGGUGAGUAAUAUAUCGGAACGUGCCGAGUAAUGGGGGAUAACUAAUCGAAAAUUUAGCUAAUACCGCAUAUUAUUCGAGCGGCCGAUAUCUGCUUCGCUUGUAGGUGGGGUAAAGGCUAACCUAGGCGACGAUCAGUAGCUGGUCUGAGAGGAUGACAUGCAGCACGGUAACUGAGACACGGUCCAGACUCCGACGGGAGGCAGCAGUGGGGAAUAUUGCACAAAGGGCGCAAGCCUGAUCCAGCCAUGCCGCGUGUCUGAAGAAGGCCUUCGGGUGGUAAAGGACUUUUAUCAGGGAGGCGUUACCAGAAGAAUAAGCAACGGCUAACUACGUGCCAGCAGCCGCGGUAAUUC